GAUGAAGAACGUAGCGAAAUGCGAUACGUAAUGUGAAUUGCAGAAUUCAGUGAAUCAUUGAAUCUUUGAACGCAUAUUGCGCUCUCUGGUAUUCCGGAGAGCAUGCUUGUUUGAGUAUCAGUAAACACCUCAACUUCCAUAUCUUUUUUGAAAUGGGAGUUGGACUUGAGUGAUCCCAACGCUUUUCCUCACCGAAAAGUGGCGGGUUACUUGAAAUGCAGGUGCAGCUGGACUUUUCUCUGAGCUAUAAGCAUAUCUAUUUAGUCUGCCUAAAAAACAGAUUAUUACCUUUGCUGCAGCUAACAUAAAGGAGAUUAGUUCUUGUGCUGACUGAUGCAGGAUUCACAAAGACAGGCUUCGGCCGACUUUGUAAACUCGAUCUCAAAUCAAGUAAGACUACCCGCCGAACUUAAGCAUAUUCAAUAAGCGGAGGA
Molecule: unclassified non-coding RNA, 434 nt
Filed under: soil metagenome
Description: partial contains 5.8S ribosomal RNA, internal transcribed spacer 2, and large subunit ribosomal RNA
Rfam family: 5.8S ribosomal RNA (bases 1-120)
Source: RNAcentral